UUGGACCAUUUUCUCUGUGCUUCGUUGUAUCGGUUUCUAGUAAAACUUGCUGAAAAAUUCUCAACAAGUUUUACGAGCAACCGAUACAACGAAGCAACCGACUGUAUUGUAG
Molecule: microRNA precursor, 112 nt
Filed under: Physcomitrium patens
Lineage: Eukaryota; Viridiplantae; Streptophyta; Bryopsida; Funariales; Funariaceae
Description: Physcomitrella patens miR1070 stem-loop (ppt-MIR1070)
Source: miRBase by way of RNAcentral